Molecule: non-coding RNA, 45 nt
Filed under: Schistosoma haematobium
Lineage: Eukaryota; Metazoa; Platyhelminthes; Trematoda; Strigeidida; Schistosomatidae
Source: RNAcentral
GUCCGAUUGACGAGCUCCAAAUAGGACGAAACGCGCGUCCUGGAU